UAGGGAAUUUUCGUCAAUGGGCGCAAGCCUGAACGAGCAAUGCCGCGUGAACGAGGAAGGUCUUUGGAUCGUAAAGUUCUGUUGAAGGGGAAAAAGAGCGGAGAGAGGAAAUGGUCUCCGAUUGAUAUUACCCUUCGAGGAAGUCACGGCUAACUACGUGCC
This 162-nucleotide ribosomal RNA is filed under the name uncultured bacterium. RNAcentral describes it as "partial 16S ribosomal RNA". It matches the Rfam family "Bacterial small subunit ribosomal RNA", at positions 355 to 509 of the family's 1533-position model. The record is from RNAcentral.